Molecule: transfer RNA, 87 nt
Filed under: Pectobacterium cacticida
Lineage: Bacteria; Pseudomonadati; Pseudomonadota; Gammaproteobacteria; Enterobacterales; Pectobacteriaceae
Also listed under: 5 other names
Description: tRNA-Leu
Rfam family: tRNA
About the family: Transfer RNA (tRNA) molecules are approximately 80 nucleotides in length.
Source: RNAcentral
GCCCGGGUGGUGGAAUCGGUAGACACAAGGGAUUUAAAAUCCCUCGGCGUUCGCGCUGUGCGGGUUCAAGUCCCGCCCCGGGCACCA